This 442-nucleotide ribosomal RNA is filed under the name uncultured bacterium. RNAcentral's name for it is "bacterial SSU rRNA". It matches the Rfam family "Bacterial small subunit ribosomal RNA", at positions 958 to 1399 of the family's 1533-position model. The record is from RNAcentral.
AACGCGAAGAACCUUACCUACCCUUGACAUCCUCGGAAUCUGCUAGAGAUAGCGGAGUGCCUUCGGGAGCCGAGAGACAGGUGCUGCAUGGCUGUCGUCAGCUCGUGUUGUGAGAUGUUGGGUUAAGUCCCGUAACGAGCGCAACCCCUGUCCUUAGUUGCCAACACGUAAAGGUGGGAACUCUAAGGAGACUGCCGGUGACAAACCGGAGGAAGGUGGGGAUGACGUCAAGUCAUCAUGGCCUUUAUGGGUAGGGCCACACACGUGCUACAAUGGUCGGUACAAAGGGAAGCGAACACGCGAGUGGGAGCAAAUCUCAGAAAACCGAUCGUAGUCCGGAUUGGAGUCUGGAACUCGACUCCAUGAAGUUGGAAUCGCUAGUAAUCGCGGAUCAGAACGCCGCGGUGAAUACGUUCCCGGGCCUUGUACACACCGACUGUAC